RNAcentral lists this small RNA (123 nucleotides) under Salmonella enterica subsp. enterica serovar Infantis. Its description in RNAcentral is "partial RtT sRNA". It matches the Rfam family "RtT RNA". Rfam says of the family: This family represents a bacterial cis-regulatory element known as RtT RNA. The exact function of RtT is unknown although it is thought that it may be involved in changing the cellular response in relation to amino acid starvation. The record is from RNAcentral. RNAcentral also lists the same sequence under 2 other names. Lineage: Bacteria; Pseudomonadati; Pseudomonadota; Gammaproteobacteria; Enterobacterales; Enterobacteriaceae.
UCUGACGAGGAUGAGAACCUCCGGGGGCAAGAGGUUCGACCCGAGCGAAGCGAGAGAACGUUGCGUCAGCAACGGCCCGCAGGGCGAGCCACGCAGUGGCGAGUCAUCCUCUAUCACCGACCA